AUUGAACGCUGGCGGCACGCCUAACACAUGCAAGUCGAGCGGAUGAAAGGGGCUUGCUCCUGGAUUCAGCGGCGGACGGGUGAGUAAUGCGCAGGAAUCUACCUAGUAGUGGGGGAUAACGUUUCGAAAGGAACGCUAAUACCGCAUACGUUCUGAGGAAGAAAGCAGGGGAUCGUAAGACCUUGCGCUAUUAGAUGAGCUUGCGUCCGAUUAGCUAGUUGGUGGGGUAAAGGCCUACCAAGGCGACGAUCGGUAACUGGUCUGAGAGGAUGAUCAGUCACACUGGAACUGAGACACGGUCCAGACUCCUACGGGAGGCAGCAGUGGGGAAUAUUGGACAAUGGGGGCAACCCUGAUCCAGCCAUGCCGCGUGUGUGAAGAAGGCC
RNAcentral lists this ribosomal RNA (386 nucleotides) under uncultured bacterium. RNAcentral's name for it is "bacterial SSU rRNA". It matches the Rfam family "Bacterial small subunit ribosomal RNA", at positions 30 to 416 of the family's 1533-position model. The record is from RNAcentral.